GUAUGCCAAACAGUUACUGAAGAGAUCGAGCAAAGGCUAACGGUUGAGAUUGAGCAAAGGGUCACUGAGAAGUUGAAGGCAGAGUUCGAGCAAGUUAGAGCUUGGAUGGACUUCAUAAGGUCCCAAGGUGGCCUAAGUGGUAUACAGCUUCCAAAUGCCUCUAGUGGACGUCAACAAGUCAGGAAGUCUGUAGGAGAUCAUGAUAGUCAAGAUGAUGAGUUGUUGGGUUCUCCUGUGCAGGUUUUGCAUGAAGACUGAUAGAUGAAUUAAUGGUGGCAUGGAAGCUAACUUUAUUUUUGGACAUAUUAUAUUAUGGCUUGAGAUGUCAAGCUUUUUGUACUUAAUAUUUAUAACAUAUUGCUACCAUACUUUUUGUAUUGAUGUAACAAAUUUUUUGUUAAUAUUUUGAUGUCAAUGAAGCUAAGAUGAUGACUGAAUUUGUAUAAAUAUUUUUGGUUUUUGAAUGAAUGAAUGUCUAUUGAUUGAAUGCA
Molecule: non-coding RNA, 491 nt
Organism: Camellia sinensis
Lineage: Eukaryota; Viridiplantae; Streptophyta; Magnoliopsida; Ericales; Theaceae
Source: RefSeq, a predicted model, not a curated record